This 207-nucleotide unclassified non-coding RNA is filed under the name Hevea brasiliensis (rubber tree). The record is from RNAcentral. Lineage: Eukaryota; Viridiplantae; Streptophyta; Magnoliopsida; Malpighiales; Euphorbiaceae.
AAAGAAUCCUCAAAACCUGUUGCUCACUAUUAAAAUCAAGAAAAAAGCACAUGCUUGCUAUGAAAGUUUCAUGCAUAUGCUAUGUAUAAUCAUGAGUGGUGAAAUCAAUUCUUGUAUUAGGGAUCUGGAGACAAGUAAUGGAGUUUGAUCAUUGAAAAGAAAAGGAAGAAUUAAGAAAGUUUUGUUUCCUUAGUAAAUCAAUAUUUU